Non-coding RNA from Gossypium hirsutum (cotton), 145 nucleotides. The record is from Rfam. Lineage: Eukaryota; Viridiplantae; Streptophyta; Magnoliopsida; Malvales; Malvaceae.
UAUUAAAAUUUUCAUCCAUUCCUACGGUUAAAAACUGGUGUUUCUAACAAAAUAGUCAAAUAGUUAUACGUAGUGUGCCAUGUAUACCUUAUUUUGACAUGUAAGGACAUAUUUUUAACGAUAGAAAUUAAUGAAAUUUUUAAUA